Molecule: unclassified non-coding RNA, 232 nt
Filed under: uncultured fungus
Lineage: Eukaryota; Fungi
Description: sequence contains ITS1
Source: RNAcentral
GUAUAAGUUUAAAAGGGCCAAUAAAGUCCCUUUGUAAGACAUUCAAAGACAUUCAGAGUUUGUAAAGACAUAGAAAGUCCGAUACUUGAACACUCGUUCUCAGACUCUCUACAAAAAGUGCACAGGUGGAUAAAGAUUGAAAGAAAAGCAAGCACUUGUCCUUGAAGGACCAGCUCAACUUUUCUUUACAAUGUUUUCAAUAAUGAUCCUUCCGCAGGUUCACCUACGGAAA